UUACACCUUUUUAAUUGGUCUUCAGAAAGAAUAAUGUCGUUGCAUGCAUCUCCACUAUGUUUGUUUUUUCAUUGUCUUAGCUGAAACACGAUGGAAAAUCAUUGUUAGUCCCCAAAUAAAAUCGCAUUUGGAUAUAUACGCAAUUUAUGAGCAAGCAACAAGAAGGCAUUUUCCAUCUUGAGACGAAAGAACGCUGCUUACCUUCAUUAUAUGCAGUCACUACCAUCUUAUUCUAGCUUCUUUGGCUGAUUGAUUAUCGAGGAUAAACAUAGUUGGCAAAGUUGCCCGAAAAGUGAGAUUAAACAUCCUUUUGUACGUCUUCAAGCUGCAUGUUGUUUUUCCUUCCCUGAAAAACGUCACUUCAUAAGUCUACUUCCACUUGAAGCUUAACAGGUGAACUAGUGCAGGCUAGUGCUAACGGCUAAUAAUGCUAACGUCAUUGGCCACACGAAACGACGACGUCACUCACCACGGAGUUCUUCAUGGCAGCCUUAACGUGGAUUACCAAGAGGAAGAAGGGAGUUUUCAGAGAGGCAAACUGGAGCGUCAGCAUCCUGACUUCAGCCGGACUGAGGAAAUUAUUGUUCAAACGGCAGCGCAUUAUCUCGCUCCCGUCAGUGCAGGCGCGCAGGAGGCCUUGCAGCAACAGCGAAUGAAAUUCAAAGUCGAUAGAAUUUUGCAUGCCUCUCCAAUGAUGUGCGCGCACGUGGGAAUUUGUAUGCGAGCGGAUGCACUCUCAUGUCAGGUUCAUAUCUAAAAAUUACACCGUUUCAAGGACACACAAACACCGUCAGAACUGAUUUGUAGUUUAAAAAAGUAGCUUUAAUUCCUUUUAGGAUCAUAUGUAAACAUAAUGAAUUACAUUAUUAAAGGUGUCUCAAUAUGCUGAUCAGGAUUUGCCAUGUAAAGUUUACAUUUCUACUGAAAGUGCAAUUUGGAUCAGAUUUAUAUGAAACCUGGUUUGACAUUAUAUUCUCAUGCAGUAUACAAUAGAACAAAUUUGCACAAAGUUUUAAUAAAUGCACGAUUCUCUCUGUUGAAUGGCAUUUUAUGUUAAAUUUCCAUGACUGCCAAAGAUGCAAUCUGGAUCGGAUUCAAAUGGCUUGACAUGGGAUUUUUCCUCUAUACGCAUGAUAAUGACGAUAUAAGCCUCUGGACAAA
Phyllopteryx taeniolatus (common seadragon) is the source of this 1161-nucleotide long non-coding RNA. RefSeq lists it as uncharacterized. Lineage: Eukaryota; Metazoa; Chordata; Actinopteri; Syngnathiformes; Syngnathidae. The transcript is spliced from 3 exons. The record is from RefSeq and is a predicted model, not a curated record.